GAUGAACGCUAGCUACAGGCUUAACACAUGCAAGUCGAACGAGCGAGAGAGAGCUUGCUUUCUCGAGCGAGUGGCGAACGGGUGAGUAACGCGUGAGGAACCUGCCUCAAAGAGGGGGACAACAGUUGGAAACGACUGCUAAUACCGCAUAAGCCCACAGGUCGGCAUCGACCAGAGGGAAAAGGAGCAAUCCGCUUUGAGAUGGCCUCGCGUCCGAUUAGCUAGUUGGUGAGGUAACGGCCCACCAAGGCGACGAUCGGUAGCCGGACUGAGAGGUUGAACGGCCACAUUGGGACUGAGAUACGGCCCGGACUCCUACGGGAGGCAGCAGUGGGGAAUAUUGGGCAAUGGGCGCAAGCCUGACCCAGCAACGCCGCGUGAACGAUGACGGCCUCGGUUGUAAGUU
Molecule: ribosomal RNA, 406 nt
Filed under: uncultured bacterium
Lineage: Bacteria
Description: bacterial SSU rRNA
Rfam family: Bacterial small subunit ribosomal RNA
Source: RNAcentral